This is a non-coding RNA of Salvia hispanica, 567 nucleotides long. The record is from RefSeq and is a predicted model, not a curated record. NCBI's taxonomy places the organism in Eukaryota, Viridiplantae, Streptophyta, Magnoliopsida, Lamiales, Lamiaceae.
AUUCAUCUGAAUCCCGUAAUUUAUCCAUGAAGCGACGUCGUCAGAAGGCAACAGAGAGGUCCUCAGUUCAAAAUUCUAAUUCCUCUGAUCUACGCCCCUGUUCUUCCUCUCAUUCGUAUUUCACUCCGGCAUAAACCGGUUUUGAGGGAUCGAUUGUUCACCGUAGCCUUGGCAGGAGCUUUCGCGCAUGGAUUGUACUUGGUAACUGAUAUGAGCAAGUGACUUGGUGGAACAAGGAUGGAACUGUUUGGAUGAAGGAUUGCCUAGAUGCCUGUAUUUCACUUCAUUUCUUGGGAAUUCUUCAUGACAUUUUUGCCAAAUCGGAACUUCAAGUGUGUCUGGACAUCUAUCCAUAUUUUCCUUAUUUUCUAAUUUGUGUAAUCCAAGGAAGAUAAAUAAUAGGCACAACUAAUGUACCAACAUUUGUGAGAGAUUUAGAAAUUCACAGUAAUAAUAGGCUGGCCGUUAAUGGCACAUCGAUAACUGGAGCUGCCUUUUUGAGCAGUAUGGUGGAAUGAUAACUUAGUUUCAGCAUUUUAUGUGAUUGAAAAUGCAUUUUUGAGCUGA